Molecule: non-coding RNA, 54 nt
Organism: Salmo salar (Atlantic salmon)
Lineage: Eukaryota; Metazoa; Chordata; Actinopteri; Salmoniformes; Salmonidae
Source: Rfam
UGCAUUCACUACUGUAAGUUGCUCUGGAUAAGAGUGUCUGCUUAAUGACUAAAA